RNAcentral lists this ribosomal RNA (915 nucleotides) under uncultured Halobacillus sp. RNAcentral describes it as "bacterial SSU rRNA". It matches the Rfam family "Bacterial small subunit ribosomal RNA", at positions 51 to 952 of the family's 1533-position model. The record is from RNAcentral. Lineage: Bacteria; Bacillati; Bacillota; Bacilli; Caryophanales; Bacillaceae.
GAGCGCGGGAAGCGAGUGGAUCCCUUCGGGGUGAAGCUCGUGGAACGAGCGGCGGACGGGUGAGUAACACGUGGGCAACCUGCCUGUAAGACCGGAAUAACCCCGGGAAACCGGGGCUAAUGCCGGGUAAUACUUUUCUUCGCAUGAAGGAAAGUUGAAAGAUGGCUUCUUGCUAUCACUUACAGAUGGGCCCGCGGCGCAUUAGCUAGUUGGUGAGGUAACGGCUCACCAAGGCGACGAUGCGUAGCCGACCUGAGAGGGUGAUCGGCCACACUGGGACUGAGACACGGCCCAGACUCCUACGGGAGGCAGCAGUAGGGAAUCUUCCGCAAUGGACGAAAGUCUGACGGAGCAACGCCGCGUGAACGAUGAAGGUCUUCGGAUCGUAAAGUUCUGUUGUUAGGGAAGAACAAGUACCGUGCGAAUAGAGCGGUACCUUGACGGUACCUAACGAGGAAGCCCCGGCUAACUACGUGCCAGCAGCCGCGGUAAUACGUAGGGGGCAAGCGUUGUCCGGAAUUAUUGGGCGUAAAGCGCGCGCAGGCGGUUCCUUAAGUCUGAUGUGAAAGCCCACGGCUCANCCGUGGAGGGUCAUUGGAAACUGGGGAACUUGAGGACAGAAGAGGAGAGUGGAAUUCCACGUGUAGCGGUGAAAUGCGUAGAUAUGUGGAGGAACACCAGUGGCGAAGCNACUCUCUGGUCUGUUUCUGACGCUGAGGUGCGAAGCGUGGGUAGCAAACAGGAUAGAUACCCUGGUAGUCCACGCCGUAAACNAUGAGUGCUAGGUGUUAGGGGGCNUCCACCCCUUAGUGCUGANNUAACGCAUUAAGCACUCCGCCUGGGGAGUACGGCCGCAGGCUGAAACUCAAAGNAUUGACGGGGGNCCCCANAACGGUGGAGCAUGUGGUUUAAUNU